UAAGGCUGAGGCGUGAUGACGAGGCACUACGGUGCUGAAGCAACAAAUGCCCUGCUUCCAGGAAAAGCCUCUAAGCAUCAGGUAACAUCAAAUCGUACCCCAAACCGACACAGGUGGUCAGGUAGAGAAUACCAAGGCGCUUGAGAGAACUCGGGUGAAGGAACUAGGCAAAAUGGUGCCGUAACUUCGGGAGAAGGCACGCUGAUAUGUAGGUGAAGCGACUUGCUCGUGGAGCUGAAAUCAGUCGAAGAUACCAGCUGGCUGCAACUGUUUAUUAAAAACACAGCACUGUGCAAACACGAAAGUGGACGUAUACGGUGUGACGCCUGCCCGGUGCCGGAAGGUUAAUUGAUGGGGUCAGCGCAAGCGAAGCUCUUGAUCGAAGCCCCGGUAAACGGCGGCCGUAACUAUAACGGUCCUAAGGUAGCGAAAUUCCUUGUCGGGUAAGUUCCGACCUGCACGAAUGGCGUAAUGAUGGCCAGGCUGUCUCCACCCGAGACUCAGUGAAAUUGAACUCGCUGUGAAGAUGCAGUGUACCCGCGGCAAGACGGAAAGACCCCGUGAACCUUUACUAUAGCUUGACACUGAACAUUGAGCCUUGAUGUGUAGGAUAGGUGGGAGGCUUUGAAGUGUGGACGCCAGUCUGCAUGGAGCCGACCUUGAAAUACCACCCUUUAAUGUUUGAUGUUCUAACGUUGACCCGUGAUCCGGGUUGCGGACAGUGUCUGGUGGGUAGUUUGACUGGGGCGGUCUCCUCCUAAAGAGUAACGGAGGAGCACGAAGGUUGGCUAAUCCUGGUCGGACAUCAGGAGGUUAGUGCAAUGGCAUAAGCCAGCUUGACUGCGAGCGUGACGGCGCGAGCAGGUGCGAAAGCAGGUCAUAGUGAUCCGGUGGUUCUGAAUGGAAGGGCCAUCGCUCAACGGAUAAAAGGUACUCCGGGGAUAACAGGCUGAUACCGCCCAAGAGUUCAUAUCGACGGCGGUGUUUGGCACCUCGAUGUCGGCUCAUCACAUCCUGGGGCUGAAGUAGGUCCCAAGGGUAUGGCUGUUCGCCAUUUAAAGUGGUACGCGAGCUGGGUUUAGAACGUCGUGAGACAGUUCGGUCCCUAUCUGCCGUGGGCGCUGGAGAACUGAGGGGGGCUGCUCCUAGUACGAGAGGACCGGAGUGGACGCAUCACUGGUGUUCGGGUUGUCAUGCCAAUGGCACUGCCCGGUAGCUAAAUGCGGAAGAGAUAAGUGCUGAAAGCAUCUAAGCACGAAACUUGCCCCGAGAUGAGUUCUCCCUGACUCCUUGAGAGUCCUGAAGGAACGUUGAAGACGACGACGUUGAUAGGCCGGGUGUGUAAGCGCAGCGAUGCGUUGAGCUAACCGGUACUAAUGAACCGUGAGGCUUAACCUUACAACGCCGAAG
RNAcentral lists this ribosomal RNA (1410 nucleotides) under Escherichia coli. RNAcentral's name for it is "partial 23S ribosomal RNA". It matches the Rfam family "Bacterial large subunit ribosomal RNA", at positions 1551 to 2925 of the family's 2925-position model. Lineage: Bacteria; Pseudomonadati; Pseudomonadota; Gammaproteobacteria; Enterobacterales; Enterobacteriaceae. The record is from RNAcentral.